AUGGGGCUUAGAUAUGAAAUAGCAAAUCCGUUUAUCAAAAAUAAUUUUGAAGUUUCAGAUUUGUGGCCUUGUCGAGAUCAUGUCUGUAAAAAGAAUCGUGGCCUUGUAUGGCUUCAUGCGCGGAAGUGUGGCACAACUACAGUUUGGUCUCGUGCAACUAAAGCAAUGCCGAAACAAUCGAUGCGCAAGUCCAGGAGAAGUCGGGGCCGAAGAUCAAAUUCCUUGUUGGAAUAUCAUAUACAGAACACAACAAGCAUUGCUGAACAAGUUCUUUUCUUCAAGAAAAAGUUAAGUUCUAAAGAAAACUAA
RNAcentral lists this ribosomal RNA (309 nucleotides) under Triticum aestivum (bread wheat). Its description in RNAcentral is "partial small subunit ribosomal RNA". The record is from RNAcentral. Lineage: Eukaryota; Viridiplantae; Streptophyta; Magnoliopsida; Poales; Poaceae.